Molecule: ribosomal RNA, 106 nt
Filed under: Mesocricetus auratus (golden hamster)
Lineage: Eukaryota; Metazoa; Chordata; Mammalia; Rodentia; Cricetidae
Source: RNAcentral
GUCUAUGGCUAUAUCACGGCGUCUUCCAUGUAUCUCUUCUGAUCUAAGUAGAGCCUAAUUAGUACUUGGAUGGGAGAUUGCCUGAGAUAACUAGAUACUGUAGGCU